Molecule: ribosomal RNA, 250 nt
Filed under: uncultured prokaryote
Description: partial 16S ribosomal RNA
Rfam family: Bacterial small subunit ribosomal RNA
Source: RNAcentral
UACGUAGGGUGCAAGCGUUGUUCGGAAUUACUGGGCGUAAAGGGUGUGUAGGCGGUCGUGUAAGAUAGCGGUGAAAUGCCGGGGCUCAACCCCGGAACUGCCUUUAUAACUAUGCGACUAGAAUGACAGAGAGGAUAUUGGAAUACCCAGUGUAGAGGUGAAAUUCGUAGAUAUUGGGUAGAACACCGGUGGCGAAGGCGAGUAUCUGGCUGUAAAUUGACGCUGAGGCACGAAAGCAUGGGGAUCAAAC